CUGGCUCAUGGGUUCCUAGCUGUCCAAAGAAGCGAGAAGUGUAUUCCAAACCCGAGUGCACACUGCAGGCGCGAAUCUGAUGGCCGCACUACAAACGCCUUCCCCAUUCGCCGGCACCGCCCGCCGCUUCGUCCCUCGCCUCCGCUAUCUACUCCUACCAACCACCAUGUCUCUCUCCUCCUCCAUCGUUUCCUCUCGAAGCCGCGACGGCGACGGGGAGCAGCCUCUCCUCCCGCACUCGAGCCUCGAGAUCGCCGGCGCGCGGCGCGGCCUCCUCGCUGGCUUCGACAGCCUCCGCCGCCCGUACCGCGCCUUCCCCGUCUUCGCGUCCAACCGCCACGUCGAGACCAUCUUCGCGGCCUUCACGCGCUCGCUCCCCACCGUGGCAUUCCGGCGCGAAUGCCUACGCACCCCUGACGACGGAGCCGUCGCCCUCGACUGGGUCUCCAGCGACGACCGCGCGUUGCCGGGAGACGCACCUGUGCUAAUCCUUCUGCCUGGUCUGACAGGGGGCAGUCAGGAUACAUAUGUACGACAUAUGCUUUUGAGAGCUAGAAGCAAAGGAUGGCGUGUUGUGGUAUUCAAUAGCCGUGGAUGUGCAAGUAGUCCUGUGACCACAGCGAAGUUCUAUUCUGCUUCAUUUACUGGAGAUCUCCGUCAAGUAGUCGAUCAUGUUUUAUCCCGUUAUCCUCAAUCUAAUAUCUAUGCUGCUGGCUGGUCUCUUGGAGCAAAUAUUCUUGUGCGCUACCUUGGCGAGGAGACUGAUAAAUGCUCCCUUUCUGGAGCAGUGUCCAUGUGCAAUCCGUUUAAUUUGGUCAUAGCAGAUGAAGAUUUCCACAAAGGGUUCAACAACAUCUAUGAUAGAGCACUUGCUAACUCUCUGAGGGCUAUAUUUAAGAAGAACUUCAUCAAAUUUUAGGCAUGCACUUCUUUUUGAAGGAUUGGAUGGUGAAUAUGACAUACCAAAGGCAGCCAAUGCAAAAACUGUUAGAGAUUUUGAUGAAGGCCUAACCCGAGUUUCAUUUGGUUUCAGGUCAGUAGAUGAUUACUACAGCAACUCAAGCAGCUCAGAUUCUAUCAAGAAUGUUUCCAUACCCUUAUUGUGCAUACAGGCGGAUAAUGAUCCAAUUGCACCAUCCAGGGGAAUUCCCAGAGAAGACAUCAAGGCAAAUCCGAACUGCCUACUGAUAGUAACACCAGAGGGUGGUCAUCUUGGAUGGGUAGCAGGCGACGAAGCUCCAUUUGGAUGUCCUUGGACUGACCCUAUUGUCAUGGAGUUUCUAGAACAUGUUCACAAUGAAACGGGCUCAACCAGCAAGAAUAGCGUGGCCAAUGAGCCGCAGGGUGUUCCAAAGACAUCAGUCCCACACUUGUCCGAACAUGUGCAGGGAUAGUAACAUUGUGUUUCCACUCGAUGCGCACGUUUUAUGCGCAUAGUUAGGCUUCACUUGCUGUUCUGCAGCUGAAAUGUGCUACACUUGCUCCACCAACACGAAGGUUCUGAACAUGUUAAAAAUUUAUUGGCGUCGGUAAUCCAUCGCUGGCUCCCCAUUUUACUGUCAUUUCGACAUGAAGUAUUUAUUUGCCAUUUGGAAGGCUUGCUGUAUCAAACUGCACCAUGUUGUAUAGAGUAUUUCGACCGCAUUCAUCCAUGCAUGUACCCAUCACCCCCUCUUGUAUGUGUUCUCACACUGAUCCCAUGGAAAUGUACAGGCAGUCGCUUCAUCCAAUCCAUCACGCCCACACAAAGGGCCGAACACUUGAACUGCAGAAUACUAGAAUGUGCCAAAACCAGAGCACCGGGUUUUCGAGUCGUGGUUUUCAGCGACAGCUUCAGUCAUCUCAAUUUGUAAAGGAACUUUAGCUGACCGAGCAGAUUAUCAAUAAGAGUUGCCCCCUCUCUCUAUCCUAAU
RNAcentral lists this ribosomal RNA (1913 nucleotides) under Triticum aestivum (bread wheat). RNAcentral's name for it is "partial small subunit ribosomal RNA". The record is from RNAcentral. Lineage: Eukaryota; Viridiplantae; Streptophyta; Magnoliopsida; Poales; Poaceae.